This 505-nucleotide ribosomal RNA is filed under the name Phenacoccus manihoti (cassava mealybug). RNAcentral's name for it is "bacterial SSU rRNA". It matches the Rfam family "Eukaryotic small subunit ribosomal RNA", at positions 114 to 531 of the family's 1831-position model. The record is from RNAcentral. Lineage: Eukaryota; Metazoa; Arthropoda; Insecta; Hemiptera; Pseudococcidae.
GGUUCCUUAGAUCGGUACCCACGUUACUUGGAUAACUGUGGUAAUUCUAGAGCUAAUACAUGCCGACAGAGUUCCGACCAACUGCGCAGAUGUGCGGCGGCCUCGGUCGUCGUCGCUGCGCGGUUCGGAAGGAACGCUUUUAUUAGAUCAAAACCGGCCAGACGGUGGUUUCGCGUUCGCGCGUCUCCAUCGUAUGCGGCCCGCGCAAAGACUUGGUGACUCUGAAUAACUUCGAGCUGAUCGCACGGUCCUAGUACCGGCGACGUAUCUUUCAAAUGUCUGCCUUAUCAACUGUCGACGGUAGGUUCGACGCCUACCGUGGUGGUAACGGGUAACGGGGAAUCAGGGUUCGAUUCCGGAGAGGGAGCCUGAGAAACGGCUACCACAUCCAAGGAAGGCAGCAGGCGCGCAAAUUACCCACUCCCAGCUCGGGGAGGUAGUGACGAAAAAUAACGAUACGGGACUCAUUCGAGGCCCCGUAAUCGGAAUAAAGUACACUAAAAUA